Molecule: long non-coding RNA, 253 nt
Filed under: Athene cunicularia (burrowing owl)
Lineage: Eukaryota; Metazoa; Chordata; Aves; Strigiformes; Strigidae
Description: lncRNA (ENSACUG00000008667.1)
Source: RNAcentral
CGGUGGGCUUGGCUUUCCCCCUCCGCCGGGGACCGCGCUUCCCCUCCUCAAUUCCGGUUACCCUCGGACAAAGAGAGAACAGAGAAUAUACCAACAAUGAAUCAUCUGUUUUUGUUACCAGUCAUUCAGACACUUUGGUGAUGGAUGAAUAGAUUGAGCCCAGAGCUGCAAGCCAGCUUGGCAGCUGGCAGUUUUUGCCCGUGUGGAGAAGAAUAGGCAUUUCUUGUGUUCCCUGCAAGUGAACCUUUGCAAG